Molecule: small nucleolar RNA, 98 nt
Filed under: Manacus vitellinus (golden-collared manakin)
Lineage: Eukaryota; Metazoa; Chordata; Aves; Passeriformes; Pipridae
Source: RNAcentral
GCGCCGCCGGCCAAGCAGCGGUGCUACAGCGAAGGCUUGUUCAUAACUGGGGCCGCUCGGCACCUCCCGGGCGGCGCUUUUAAAAACAAGUGACAUUU